RNAcentral lists this ribosomal RNA (460 nucleotides) under uncultured bacterium. Its description in RNAcentral is "partial 16S ribosomal RNA". It matches the Rfam family "Bacterial small subunit ribosomal RNA", at positions 338 to 795 of the family's 1533-position model. The record is from RNAcentral.
CCUACGGGUGGCAGCAGUGAGGAAUAUUUGUCAAUGGCCGUAAGGCUGAACCAGCCAAGUCGCGUGAAGGAAGAAGGAUCUAUGGUUUGUAAACUUCUUUUAUAGGGGAAUAAAGGUAUCCACGUGUGGAUAUUUGUAUGUACCAUAUGAAUAAGGCUCGGCUAACUCCGUGCCAGCAGCCGCGGUAAUACGGAGGAUCCGAGCGUUAUCCGGAUUUAUUGGGUUUAAAGGGAGCGUAGGUGGAUUGUUAAGUCAGUUGUGAAAGUUUGCGGCUCAACCGUAAAAUUGCAGUUGAAACUGGCAGGCUUGAGUACAGUAGAGGUGGGCGGAAUUCGUGGUGUAGCGGUGAAAUGCUUAGAUAUCACGAAGAACUCCGAUUGCGAAGGCAGUUCACUGGACUGCAACUGACACUGAGGCUCGAAAGUGUGGGUAUCAAACAGGAGUAGAGACCCUAGUAGUC